GACUUGACAGCACUUCAAAUCCACCUAGAGGAGCCUGUCCUAUAAUCGAAAGUACACGAUUCACCUAACCACCCCUAGUCUACCCAGUUUGUAUACCGCCGUCGCAAGCCUGUCUCGCUGAGAGAAACAAAAUGGGCACAACAGCCUCCUAGGCUAAAACGUCAGGUCAACGUGCAACUAAUGGGGUGGGAAGGAUGUGCUACAUUUUCUAACACAUAGAAAUACGUGACGGAACGUCCCGUGAAA
This 246-nucleotide ribosomal RNA is filed under the name Caiman latirostris (Broad-snouted caiman). RNAcentral's name for it is "partial 12S ribosomal RNA". The record is from RNAcentral. Lineage: Eukaryota; Metazoa; Chordata; Crocodylia; Alligatoridae.